ACACGUCUUCAGGGCGGGGUGAAAUUCCCCACCGGCGGUAUGCGGCGCAAGCCGCGAGCCCGCGAGCGCUCUUCACCUCUCCGGUGAAGAGGUCAGCAGAUUCGGUGAGAUGCCGAAGCCGACGGUCAGAGUCCGGAUGAAAGAAGAUGUGC
This 152-nucleotide non-coding RNA is filed under the name Rhizobacter sp. Root404. Its description in RNAcentral is "FMN riboswitch aptamer (RFN element)". It matches the Rfam family "FMN riboswitch aptamer (RFN element)". From Rfam's summary of the family: The RFN element is a highly conserved domain that is found frequently in the 5'-untranslated regions of prokaryotic mRNAs that encode for flavin mononucleotide (FMN) biosynthesis and transport proteins. The record is from Rfam by way of RNAcentral. Lineage: Bacteria; Pseudomonadati; Pseudomonadota; Betaproteobacteria; Burkholderiales; Sphaerotilaceae. RNAcentral also lists the same sequence under 1 other name.